AAGGAUUUAAGUUAAAUUAAAACUAAUAACCUUCAAAGUUAUAAAUAAAGAACAUCUUUAAGCCUU
This 66-nucleotide transfer RNA is filed under the name Extatosoma tiaratum (giant prickly stick insect). Its description in RNAcentral is "tRNA-Trp". Lineage: Eukaryota; Metazoa; Arthropoda; Insecta; Phasmatodea; Phasmatidae. The record is from RNAcentral.